GGCUGCACCUACGGCAUAUGAAAGUUUCAGGUCAGGGACUGAAUCCACUGGAAUAGGUCAUAGCUGUUGCUGAAAUUUUCUUCUUUCUUUCUUCUUCUUCUUUUUGUUUUUUUGUUUUUGUUUUUGUUUUUGCUUUUUAGGGCCACAACCUCAGCAUUUGGAACUUCCCAGGCUAGGGGUCUAAUUGGAGCUACAGCUGCAGGCCUACCCCACAGCCACAGCAAUGCCAGAGCGAAGCUGCGUCUUCAACCUACACUACAGCUCACAGCAAUGCUGGAUCCCUGACCCACUGAGCAAGGCCAGGGAUCGAACCCAAAUUCUCACGGAUACUAGUCGGGUUUGUUUCCACUCUGUGGUGUAGGUCGCAGACUCAACUCAGACCCCGUGUUGCUGUGGCUGUGGCAUAGGCUGGCAGCAAUUAAAUUAAACUAAAUUAAAGCUCCAAUUAAACCCCUAGUCUGGGAACCUCCCUAUGCCACAGGUGCGGCCCAAAAAAGACCAAACAAACAAAAAAAACCCUAAUUAAAAUCAUAAAGACCUGGGUUCAAAUAUCCAGCUCUGCAUUUACAUACCUUCUGUUUCUUUAUAAGAAUAAAACAACUGCACAGUUGUUAUGGGUGAUUAAAUUAUAUACUCAUGUGUCUAAGGUAAUACCAAGCCAAAACAUGGUAGUCACUUAAUUCUUGCUAUGAUUAUUAACAAAUGUUGUUCAGUCGGCGCAGAGGUAGAAUUUAAACUGAACUUUUAAGGAUGGAGGAGAGGCAUAGGGCAGGCAGAAGGAACAGUAAAGUCUUAAUUUACAAGAAAUCUCUUCCUUUUUUUCUGUAUUUCCUCUUUUAAGAUAAACCACGAGAAUGUACGUCUAUCAAUUUCCUCAAUUCUCUACCUUCAGGGUUAUACAUAUGCCUCAAAAUAACUAUACUGUGUCAAAAUUCUAAUUUAAAUAUUAAAUUAGGCUCAGUGGACUGAACACUAAAAAAUGUGAAAAUGCAUUAAUAUUUCAGUAAGAAUUCCAAUCAGAAUUCAAAGUAAGAGUACUUUUAGUUAACCCAGUUAAGUAGAAAAAUUAACUCAAAUUCUCAUUCAACAAGUCUUUCCAACAACUUCUUCGAAAACCUCUAAGUAGCAAAAGCACCAAAUACCUAGAAAAAUACAAUAAAGAAGCCAAGAAUUUUCUUAUACAACCUGCAAACUUUAUAAGAUAUGAAGAUAAUUAAUGAUAACUAAACUAUUCUGGUAAUUCAACAGUAAUACACCUACUUGGAGAGAACCAAAGUAACUUUAUACAUGUUGGUAGCAGAAAGAUAGUUAUUUUUAUGAUAUAUACAUUUAACCUUUAUGAUGACAGCAUAUUUUCUAAAUGGCUACUUAAUAGCUUUAUGCCUUUUAGCUUACAGUAAUGCUAUGCUUAUAACUGUCAAUGAAAGAAGACCUAUGCAGGUAAGGGGAUACAUUCUAUUUUAUGAUUACAUUAGGCAGACUCCUCCAAAAGAGUAGGAAUGAUGUCUCCUGCUCCUUACUAAAUUCUUAGCACUUAAAAACAGUAGAUACUCAAUAAAUAUCUGUCCAAGCUUAAAUGUUGAUUUAUGCACAAGGAAAUCAGGCUAAGAGAAAUAAAAAAUACAUGAAUCAAAAUUAGGUCAAGGCCUUGAGCAUGGGCUAUGCUUGGCGACUUGCUUCCAAAGAGUAGAGUAUGAACAGGUGGAGACUGAAACCUCACAAAGACGUCAAAUAGGUGAUCAAUGUUAACAUCAUCAAUUUUUAUGUUUUUUGGUAUAUACCCUUGAUGCUGUGAUAAGAAUGGCACUUCACCUGUUGUCUUCCUCCCUAAAACCCAUAACCCAGUUUAAUCAUGAGGAAAACAUCAGAUAAAUCUCAAUUGAGGGCUAUUCUACAAAAUUUCUAGUAGUCCUCAAAACAGUCACAGUCAUCAAAAACAAGAAAAGUCUGAAACUAUAAUUCUGGAGGAGAAAAAGGACUCUAGGGGAAAAUUAAUGAAAUCUGAAUAAAGUGUGCAAUUUAGUUAAUAGUAAUGUAGCAAUGUACCACAUUUUUUUACUUUACUAUUGAAGUUUCUUCAGUUGUGACAAAUGUACCAUAAUGUAAGAAGUUAACAGUAAGAAAAACCAAGUGAGAUUUACUCUACUACCUUGCUACUCUUUUGUAAAAUUAUUCUAAAAUUAAAAGCUUAUUUAAAUAAAAAAAAAGUUAGGGUAAUGGAAAUAAAUACAUAAAUCAAAAUCCCUUGGAAGUGAAUGGGAGUUUCUAUUGUGGUUCUGUGGAUUAAGAAUCCACCUAGUAUUCAUGAGGACGCGGGUUAGAUCCCUGGCCUCGCUCAGCGGCUUAAGAAUCUGGCAUUGCCAUAAACUGAAGUGUAGAUCGCAGAUGCAGCUUGGAUCUGGCAUGGCUGUGGCUGUGGCAUAGGCCAGCAGCUGCAGCUCUGAAACAACCCCUAGCAUGCCACAGGUGUGGCCCUAAAAAGAAAAAAAAAAAAAUCCCCUGAAAGUGAAUGAUGAUAAACAUUCUUUCGGAUUCUAUUUGGCAGCAUUCUCAUAUAGUGGAACUAAAGUUACUGAAUAAAUCUAUAGUAUUAAUCAUGAAGUCACAUAUGACCAAAGCAGAUGUCCCUUAAACUUGUUUCCCAAACAUCAACACUUCAAUUAUUGACUUAAGCUGUCAACUCUACAUUAACUGUAAAUCCCACACCUCUAAUCUCUAGUCGUUGAAGGUUAUAUUCACUUUGAUAUCUCCCACUCAGUUUAUACUCUAACCUAACUCACUAUUUUGAUUAUACUCCUCUUCCAAACCUCCUUAUCAAAGUUAUUAAUUUAUCUUUCAAUACAUCUUUCUCCUUCCCAUAGUCAAUAAUUAGUCUUGCACACCGCUGUCACGUGAAACUUCCUCAAAUAAGGAUUUUAUCUUAUCAUUACCAGGUUCAAAUUCCUUCCCUUUUUUUGGAGAGGGAGGGGGUACCAAACCCUAUUCUGAAUUCAGAAAUGAUGUGUUUAAGGCCAUCCAUAAUUGGUUAUUCUUUUGAAUCAUUCACUUAUAGAGAGCUUUGCAUACAUCUCUUCACUCAUAUUCUAAGUGCUGCCUUUGCUGUACUCAGAAAAUAAUCAAAUACUAAGCAUAUAAUACAUAUCUGAAAAAAAUAAGACUCCCCUGGAUGGUCAAAGACUACAAAUUUCUUGAAACCUGAAUUUGAAUUUCUUGAUAAAACCUAAAAAGAUGAUAAAGAAUACAGGAAUUUGUCUUAAUUAAGCCUGUAGCUUCAGUUCCUAGAAAAGUGCCUGGUGAAGGGUAAGUGCUCGAAAAUAUUUAUUGCAUAAAAACAAGGCAGUAUAGAAUGCUACAGCCCAAAAGAAUAAUAUGCUAUUAGAGAAAGAAAAUAAUUUUCAGUUGGAGAUGUGAAAGAAGGUCUAAAAUUUUAUGAUUCUAAGACUCUUAGGGCAAGAUUUUAACCAAAUCUCAAGUGUGAGUAGAUCUUCAAUAGUUAAGAGGAUGUGUGCAGGUGCAUUUCCAACAGAAAAAUGUUGUAUCAGCAAAGGUAAAAAGAAGGAAAAUUGUUCUACCACUUAGAAGUGGUAAUAAUGAACACUUACCAAAGUUCUGGGACCAAAGUUUGAAAAGUUUUGGGAAGAAAUUUGGUAUUCAUGCUUGGUCAUUAGUGAUAUAACCUUUAGGAGGAUUAAUCUAAUGGGAGCUUAGACUUUUGAAAGCAAGAACCUUACUUUCUUCAAAAGCCUCUCCUAUCUACUCAAACCCUCUAGUUUCCUUCUUCUCUGAACUCUUAUAGUACCUGCCUGCAUCAUACAAUUUAACUCUUAAUUACAUAAACUUUUUUUUUUUGCUUUUUAGGCCUGUGCAUGUAGCAUAUCAAAGUUCCCAGGCUAGGGGUCGAAUCAGAGCUACAGCUGCUGGCCUACACCACAGCUACAGCAACGCAGGAUCUGA
This 3954-nucleotide long non-coding RNA is filed under the name Sus scrofa (pig). Its description in RNAcentral is "lncRNA (ENSSSCG00005006145.1)". The record is from RNAcentral. Lineage: Eukaryota; Metazoa; Chordata; Mammalia; Artiodactyla; Suidae.